UACGGAGGGUGCAAGCGUUGCUCGGAAUUAUUGGGCGUAAAGGGUAGGUAGGUGGUCUCAUUUGUCUGGGGUGAAAGCCUUGAGCUUAACUCAAGAAGUGCCCCAGAGACGGUGAGACUAGAGUUCUGGAGAGGGUCGUGGAAUUCCCGGUGUAGCGGUGAAAUGCGUAGAGAUCGGGUGGAACACCAGCGGCGAAGGCGGCAUCCUGGCCCUGUACUGACGCUGAGGCGCGAUAGCGUGGGGAGCAAACGGG
This 253-nucleotide ribosomal RNA is filed under the name uncultured bacterium. RNAcentral's name for it is "partial 16S ribosomal RNA". It matches the Rfam family "Bacterial small subunit ribosomal RNA", at positions 524 to 776 of the family's 1533-position model. The record is from RNAcentral.